This 253-nucleotide ribosomal RNA is filed under the name uncultured bacterium. RNAcentral's name for it is "partial 16S ribosomal RNA". It matches the Rfam family "Bacterial small subunit ribosomal RNA", at positions 524 to 776 of the family's 1533-position model. The record is from RNAcentral.
UACAGAGGUGGCAAGCGUUGUUCGGAAUUACUGGGCGUAAAGGGCGCGUAGGUGGCCUUUUGAGUCAGACGUGAAAUCCCCCGGCUUAACCUGGGAACUGCGUCUGAUACUGGAAAGCUUGAGUUCGGGAGAGGGAUGUGGAAUUCCAGGUGUAGCGGUGAAAUGCGUAGAUAUCUGGAGGAACACCGGUGGCGAAGGCGGCAUCCUGGACCGAAACUGACACUGAGGUGCGAAAGCUAGGGUAGCAAACGGG